GCUCUGUUCGUCUACGAUGGCUAGGACACCAGCCUUUCACGCUGGUAAAAGGAGUUCGACACUCCUACAGAGCACCA
Molecule: transfer RNA, 77 nt
Filed under: Vibrio alginolyticus
Lineage: Bacteria; Pseudomonadati; Pseudomonadota; Gammaproteobacteria; Vibrionales; Vibrionaceae
Description: tRNA-Glu
Rfam family: tRNA
About the family: Transfer RNA (tRNA) molecules are approximately 80 nucleotides in length.
Source: RNAcentral